UACGGAGGGUGCAAGCGUUGUUCGGAAUUACUGGGCGUAAAGCGCGUGUAGGCGGUCAUUUAUGUCGGGUGUGAAAGCCCUGGGCCUAACCCAGGAAGUGCGCCCGAAACUGGAUGACUUGAGUACGAUAGAGGGGGAUGGAAUUCCCAGUGUAGAGGUGAAAUUCGUAGAUAUUGGGAAGAACACCGGUGGCGAAAGCGGUUCCCUGGAUCGAUACUGACGCUAAGACGCGAAAGCGUGGGGAGCAAACAGGAUUAGAUACCCUGGUAGUCCACGCUGUAAACGAUGGAUACUAGUUGUUGGGAGCUUUUAAACUCUCAGUGACGACGCCAACGCAUUAAGUAUCCCGCCUGGGGAGUACGGCCGCAAGGUUAAA
This 376-nucleotide ribosomal RNA is filed under the name uncultured bacterium. Its description in RNAcentral is "bacterial SSU rRNA". It matches the Rfam family "Bacterial small subunit ribosomal RNA", at positions 524 to 898 of the family's 1533-position model. The record is from RNAcentral.